Long non-coding RNA from Macaca mulatta (Rhesus monkey), 1183 nucleotides. RefSeq lists it as uncharacterized. The record is from RefSeq and is a predicted model, not a curated record. Lineage: Eukaryota; Metazoa; Chordata; Mammalia; Primates; Cercopithecidae.
GAACAGAAAAUUUAAUGAGCUUUUAAUGGAAUGCAAUGCUCAGAGUAGUAAAUUAUUUGUUAGUUGACGAUGCAAUCAGCAUGCUGAUUAAGGUUGCUUGGUUUUUUACUAAACAUUAACUGAAUGAAAACGGGUAGUCCUUGUUCUGCUUGGGGGGCUUUAAGGAAGCAAAUGGACUUUCAGAACAGAGAUUGUCAAUAAAGGAAUACCCAGCUUGGGUUCUGGAUAUGUCCUCUGAGAAGGUGCCCAUGUCACUGACUGCACUGGAGGCCAAUGCAGAUACUGGAGGAAGGUUCCAUGGUAGCUAAGUGUGGACAAGUUAAUCACUGAAGUUCCCUGAUGUAGAGCUGAUAAUCUCUGGAGUUGGAUGGAAGACUGUGCUGCCUUGAAGCUCUGAGAGAUGCCAUGCCAAUUCAAGGCAAGGUCUUUAUUGUUGAAAUUCUUGCAUAAUGACAUCUUUAUUCAGGUGAAAAUACAGGAUGAAUUUCAACUGUAUGAUACUGUUUAUGUUCAUCAGACAUAUUAUUUGUCUUUACAAAGACUGGUUUCAAUAAACUGGCUGUGUAACCGAUAUUAAAUAAACAUGGAAUUUUACACAUUCAUAAUAUUUGGUUUCUUGUGAUUCUGAUGAACUAUACUUUCAAGCAUUGUCAGUUCAUCCUCAUUUACAAAGAAACAUUUGCUGUAGCAGAGUGAUGUAGUGACUUGCUUUACUUAAGGUAAGUCAACUUUUCUAUUCAAUGUUUAAUGUGAAACUGACUUAAAAAUGUUCUUUUAGGCCCCAUUUACAUUUCUCUUUGUAUAACAUGCAUUAUACUAUUUUAACUUAAUACUGUGGCUACAUAAAGCAAAGAUAUUCUAAUUCUGUUUUUAAUUUAUUAUUUUGCAAGAUAAAUAAUUUUUAAUGCACUAAUAAAGCUAAGGAGUUCAUAUUAAAAGACAUAUUAUAUGACCUACUGAAGUUGAUCUAUGGAAAUUGACUAUCUUAAAAGUAAUUUUGUAAAAUUAUUUUGUAUAAAAUUGACUUUCUUGUAUGAAUUCUUGACAACAAAUAUAAAACAAAAGGAAGUUGAAACUCCUUCUACAUCCUUCUGCACACUGAAGAGAGUUAAUUGAAUUCUUUCUAACUUCAUGGUUUUUGUGUUUCUUAGAAAAAUAAAUCAGAUGAAUAGUAAACAUUGCA